Eucalyptus grandis is the source of this 4506-nucleotide RNA transcript. It is a transcript of the gene named RNA-dependent RNA polymerase 1, with no coding region annotated. The record is from RefSeq and is a predicted model, not a curated record. NCBI's taxonomy places the organism in Eukaryota, Viridiplantae, Streptophyta, Magnoliopsida, Myrtales, Myrtaceae. The transcript is spliced from 4 exons.
CUCUCUCUCUCUCGAGCACCGCUGAGACAGACCAUUCCUUCCCCGCUGUGCCAGCUCUUCCGGGUAACCGCGCUUCUUCUUCUACUACUUCUACUUAUUCUUGUCAGUCAAGCUUGGGCUUUCGAUGAUCGCCGUUCUCUCCCGCUGUGACUUGACAUCAUGUUCGAGAGUGCGAACUCCGUGCGGCUGUCUCUUACGAUCGUGCGUGGAUCUCGCGGUUUUCCGUGACUGCUUCACGGGGUGAGAUGGUGCACGUUUAGAAGGGGUCUUAAGUACCGUGAAGGAUUCGUGAUUAUUAGCACGUGACGUGAGUCUCUUUAGGAAGUCAACUUCAUUAUCUGGAAUUAGAAUCCAUCGCUGUCGUACGUCCGGUAUGGUUGCCUGAACUUGUAGGCUGUUCUGAUGUUUUUUUCCGGGUGCCGGUCGCUCUUUUCCUUAACGUGUACGACGCUGAUUGAUCCCAUUGCGCCUCUAUAUAGUUUUUCUGAGUGCUUUUCAAAUAGCAGUGAUCAAGCCUUCAUUUUGAUAAUCAAUCACGAAGAUGAUCCGUGGUAGUUUGAGGCAACCAUUACUUUAUGUAAGUUCUCUUGUUUCCUGUCUCAUGGUCCAACUUGUUUUUGAAGGACCACGCUGCUCUGUCACUGCUGGUGACCUCCUCGUUACGGUGUAACAGAGCGCUAUAAAGUUCUUGUUAGUAGAAUGGGUAAGACUAUACGCGUACGCGGAUUCUCUUCAUUAGUGACGAAUGAUUUAGUCAGGAAAUUCCUGGAGCAAAAGACCGGGAAAGAUACUGUUGACGCCAUCAAGGUUAGACCAAACAAACGUGGGAAUGGAUCCCAUGCUUAUGUCCAGUUUAUCGACCCUGAAUAUGCUGAGUCGAUUAUUUCAUCGGCUAGUCAAGGUUUGUGGUAUCAGUGUUCUUGUUUGACUGUUUGCAAGGCUGAUUACGAUAUCGUGCAGAAGCCAAGAACCCUCUGGCAUUCGAUGGAAGGUAUAGCUCUGCAUUUUGGCUGCCAGGUAUCAGCUAAAAGGUUCUCUAGACUGUGGACAGGGGAGAAUGUCACUGUGAAUUUCGGAACGAAGCGGAGAAAAUUCUGCUUUUUUGUGUCUCAUCUCGAUGCGGAGUAUAAGCUUGAGUUAUCCUACGAAAACAUCUGGCAGAUGAAGCUACACCGUCCGAGAGGCCGUAGGACAAUGCAUCUCGUGAUUCAGCUGUAUGGGGCUCCUUGUAUUCAUAAAAAAGUUCAGCAUUCGGAAUCAGAGAAUAUCUGGGGCAGUCCUCUCUACAACUUUUUCAAAGAUGGUUCUGAUGACCAGUGGGUUAGAGCGACUGAUUUUACUUCAUUGGCUUGCAUUGGACAGUCAUGUGCUGUCUGUUUAGAGAUUCCUCGGGAAUGCACGGUUCCAGAUUUUCAUGAAAACUUUGUCAAUUAUAAGGAAACCGAUGGAACAUUGUAUAUGGAAGUUGGUUCUCCUUUCUCCUCCAGUGCGGAUCUGGUUCCAAUCGUAGGCCCUCCCAGGGGACUUGACUUGCCGUAUGAGAUUGUCUUUAAGAUCAAUUUGUUAGUUCAGAAUGGCUGUCUAGCAGGACCUUGUCUUGAUUCUUUAUUUUAUCGAAUGGUUGAUACACGGAGGAUAGACAUGGACAUGAUCCUAGAUGCCUUAGACAAACUGUUCCAUAUGAAAGAAUGUUGUUAUGAACCCUCAAAGUGGCUGAUUAAGCAGUACAAGAAAUAUCUCACCUCCCGGCAUUCUACGAAACUGUCUUCAAUAACGUUAGAUGCUGGCUUGGUUUAUGUACAUAGGGUGCAAAUAACACCCUGCAGGGUGUAUUUUUUUGGUCCAGAAAUUAAUGUCUCAAAUCAUGUAUUGCGGAGGUAUUCUAAGUACAUUGACAAUUUUAUCCGCAUUUCUUUUGUGGAUGAGGACUUGGAAAAAAUGCAUUCAACUGAUUUAUCUCCUCGCACUGAUUCGAGACAUGGAAGGACGGAUAUAUAUGAAAGGAUCCUUUCUAUACUCAAGAAUGGCAUAAGAAUAGGUGAUAAGGAGUUUGAAUUUCUUGCCUUCUCAUCCAGUCAGUUACGCGAAAAUUCUGCUUGGAUGUUUGCUCCAACAAAUGGUACAACUGCUGCAACUAUCAGGGAAAAGAUGGGUGAAUUCAGAAAAAUAAGAAAUGUCGCAAGAUAUGCCGCAAGACUUGGCCAAUCCUUUGGUUCAUCUACUGAAACUCUCAAUGUAGAUAGACAUGAAGUUGAAGUCAUUCCGGAUGUUAAAGUCAAAUCACAUGUUGAGGAUAAAUAUUAUAACUUCUCUGACGGAAUCGGAAAAUAUCUGAAAAUUUCGCUCGGAAAGUUGCAAGAAAAUGUGGCUUCAACGGCUAUACUCCUUCAGCAUUUCAAAUUCGCUAUGGCGGAUACAAAGGUGUUGUAGCUGUUGAUCCGACAUCCUCUGUUAAACUGUCACUCAGAGAGAGCAUGUCCAAGUAUGAAUCGAAUGAGACAAAGCUAAAUGUCUUGGCGUGGAGCAAAUAUCAGCCUCUCUUUCUGAAUCGCCAGUUAAUCACUCUUCUCUCAACGCUUGGCGUUCCAGAUCACGUGUUUGAGAAAAACAAAGAAAUGCUGUAGAUCAGCUAAAUGCUAUUUUAGUUGAUCCCUUACGAGCACAAGAGGCUCUAGAUUUAAUGUCCCCUGGCGAGAAUGGUAACAUUCUCAAAGAAAUGCUAAAGUGUGGUUAUGAGCCUGAUGCUGAGCCAUUUCUAUCGAUGAUGCUGCGAACAUUCAGAGAUGCAAAAUUGUUUCUUUUACGGACAAAAACAAAGAUAUUUCUUCCUGAAGGAAGAUACAUGAUGGGAUGCCUUGAUGAGACCCGAAAUUUACAAUAUGGUCAGGUGUUUGUGCAGUAUUCUGGUAGAAGGAAAAAACAGAUGUGGGAUGAGUCAAUCAUGUUCAGAAGUUCUGACUCAGAUCAAACUGUUGUACAGGGAAAUGUAGUUGUUGCGAGGAAUCCUUGCUUACAUCCCGGUGAUGUUCGAGUUCUAACUGCCGUAGAUGUGCCAGCUUUACGUCAUAUGGUGGAUUGUGUUGUUUUUCCACAAAAAGGAAAAAGGCCGCAUCCCAGUGAGUGUUCAGGGGUGAUUUGGAUGGAGAUGGUUACUUCAUCUCCUGGGACUCAGAAUUAGUUCCACCUCUCCAGAGCGAACCUAUGGAUUACACACCUGCCCCGAUUGAACAGUUGGAUCACGAUGUCACUAUUGAGGAAGUGGAAGAGUAUUUUGUAAAAUUCAUGCUUAAUGACAGCCUUGGAAUUAUUGCCGACUCCCACACCGCGUUUGCAGAUAGUAAGCCUGGAAAGGCCAUGAGCCCUGAAUGUUUAGAGCUUGCCAGACUUUUCUCUAUUGCUGUCGACUUUCCGAAAACUGGUGUACCUGCUGUGAUACCUCCUAAUCUGUAUGCCAAAGAAUGCCCAGACUUCAUGGAGAAGCCUGACAAGUCCAGCUACCCAUCCAAUAACGUGAUCGGAAAGCUUUUCCGGGAAGUCAAAGAGCUAGCAUAUGCAUCGAGCUCUAUUCGGAAGUUCACGCCGGAAAUGGCGAGGCAAUCUUAUGACCCAGAGAUGGAAGUGGACGGAUUUGAGGAAUAUGUCGAUGACGCUUUCUAUCACAAGGGUAAUUAUGAUUACAAGCUGGGUAAUAUGAUGGAGUACUAUGGGAUUAACACAGAGGCCGAAAUACUUAGUGGCUGCAUAAUGAAAAUGUCCAAAUCUUUCACCAAGAAGAGGGACUCUGACAGCAUUACCAGGGCUGUAAAAUCCCUGAGAAAGGAAGCUCGGAACUGGUUUAAUGAUAAGGGAAGUGGUUCAGAUUCUGAGGCUGUCGAUGAAUAUGCAAAAGCAUCUGCUUGGUAUCAUGUCACAUAUCACCCGAGUUAUUGGGGUUGCUAUAACGAGGGUCUGAAUCGAGAUCAUUAUCUUAGCUUUCCUUGGUGUGUAUAUGAUAAACUGAUCCAAAUUAAGAAGAAAAAACGAGGUAGGAUAACUGAUAAUAUGUCCACUCUUGAAGACCACUUAACCCGUGGAUUGUUCCUGACAAAUCCUACUCAGAUAUUUUAUUAGUUGGAGGGAGCGGAGUUAUUGUGUUUUUGUGCCUUCUGCAAUGUGCAGGCAACGUUCCUCCUAGACUCCUGCUUUUAUUUAGCAAAGCUUGAAUACUGGCUGCUGUUCGUGCAUGCAUUACAUCUUUUACUACAUGAUGGUAAUGCCUGACGGCUGUUCACAGUUUACAGUCUCUCUGAACGGGACUUUCCAUGGUGUCACAAUAAACGUUGUGUACCCCGUAAAUUUCCGUGAAUGACAGUUAUUCUUCCAUGACAUAGGUUCCUCCGAUUCCUAAUGCUGGGGGAUUUGAACGUUAUAACAUUUCUGUAAUUUCAGAUGACAGCUCUAGUCCAGAUGAUGCUGCAUCAGAUUUAGUUUGUCGUGGACUUUGAGAAUAAUAUUAUGCUCUUGCAA